RNAcentral lists this ribosomal RNA (702 nucleotides) under uncultured Glomeromycotina. RNAcentral's name for it is "SSU rRNA". It matches the Rfam family "Eukaryotic small subunit ribosomal RNA", at positions 346 to 1045 of the family's 1831-position model. The record is from RNAcentral. Lineage: Eukaryota; Fungi; Glomeromycota.
AUGGUGGUAACGGGUAACGGGGUGUUAGGGCACGACACCGGAGAGGGAGCCUGAGAAACGGCUACCACAUCCAAGGAUGGCAGCAGGCGCGCAAAUUACCCAAUCCCGGCACGGGGAGGUAGUGACAAUAAAUAACAAUACGGGGCUCUUUCGGGUCUCGUAAUUGGAAUGAGUACAAUUUAAAUCCCUUAACGAGGAACAAUUGGAGGGCAAGUCUGGUGCCAGCAGCCGCGGUAAUUCCAGCUCCAAUAGCGUAUAUUAAAGUUGUUGCAGUUAAAAAGCUCGUAGUUGAAUUUCGGGAUUGGCGCAUCGGUCGUGCCUCACGGGGUAUGAACUGGUGCAGUCAAUUUCUCACCUUCUGGAGAACCGCGAUGUCCUUAAUUGGACGCCGCGGGGAACCAGGACCUUUACUUUGAAAAAAUUAGAGUGUUUAAAGCAGGCAUUUUUGCUCGAAUACAUUAGCAUGGAAUAAUAAAAUAGGACGGCAUGGUUCUAUUUUGUUGGUUUCUAGGACCACCGUAAUGAUUAAUAGGGAUAGUUGGGGGCAUUAGUAUUCAAUUGUCAGAGGUGAAAUUCUUGGAUUUAUUGAAGACUAACUACUGCGAAAGCAUUUGCCAAGGAUGUUUUCAUUAAUCAAGAACGAAAGUUAGGGGAUCGAAGACGAUCAGAUACCGUCGUAGUCUUAACCAUAAACUAUGCCGA